GGGAAGGUGCCAGAGUGGUUGAAUGGGGCGGUCUCGAAAACCGUUGUGGGCGUUCCCGUCCACCGUGGGUUCGAAUCCCACCCUUCCCG
RNAcentral lists this transfer RNA (89 nucleotides) under Chloroflexota bacterium. RNAcentral describes it as "Chloroflexi bacterium (marine sediment metagenome) tRNA-Ser". It matches the Rfam family "tRNA". From Rfam's summary of the family: Transfer RNA (tRNA) molecules are approximately 80 nucleotides in length. Lineage: Bacteria; Bacillati; Chloroflexota. RNAcentral also lists the same sequence under 1 other name. The record is from RNAcentral.